GCAGCUUGCUGCUUCGCUGACGAGUGGCGGACGGGUGAGUAAUGUCUGGGAAGCUGCCUGAUGGAGGGGGAUAACUACUGGAAACGGUAGCUAAUACCGCAUAAUGUCGCAAGACCAAAGAGGGGGACCUUCGGGCCUCUUGCCAUCGGAUGUGCCCAGAUGGGAUUAGCUUGUUGGUGGGGUAACGGCUCACCAAGGCGACGAUCCCUAGCUGGUCUGGGAGGAUGACCAGCCACACUGGAACUGAGACACGGUCCAGACUCCUACGGGAGGCAGCAGUGGGGAAUAUUGCACAAUGGGCGCAAGCCUGAUGCAGCCAUGCCGCGUGUAUGAAGAAGGCCUUCGGGUUGUAAAGUACUUUCAGCGGGGAGGAAGGGAGUAAAGUUAAUACCUUUGCUCAUUGACGUUACCCGCAGAAGAAGCACCGGCUAACUCCGUGCCAGCAGCCGCGGUAAUACGGAGGGUGCAAGCGUUAAUCGGAAUUACUGGGCGUAAAGCGCACGCAGGCGGUUUGUUAAGUCAGAUGUGAAAUCCCCGGGCUCAACCUGGGAACUGCAUCUGAUACUGGCAAGCUUGAGUCUCGUAGAGGGGGGUAGAAUUCCAGGUGUAGCGGUGAAAUGCGUAGAGAUCUGGAGGAAUACCGGUGGCGAAGGCGGCCCCCUGGACGAAGACUGACGCUCAGGUGCGAAAGCGUGGGGAGCAAACAGGAUUAGAUACCCUGGUAGUCCACGCCGUAAACGAUGUCGACUUGGAGGUUGUGCCCUUGAGGCGUGGCUUCCGGAGCUAACGCGUUAAGUCGACCGCCUGGGGAGUACGGCCGCAAGGUUAAAACUCAAAUGAAUUGACGGGGGCCCGCACAAGCGGUGGAGCAUGUGGUUUAAUUCGAUGCAACGCGAAGAACCUUACCUGGUCUUGACAUCCACGGAAGUUUUCAGAGAUGAGAAUGUGCCUUCGGGAACCGUGAGACAGGUGCUGCAUGGCUGUCGUCAGCUCGUGUUGUGAAAUGUUGGGUUAAGUCCCGCAACGAGCGCAACCCUUAUCCUUUGUUGCCAGCGGUCCGGCCGGGAACUCAAAGGAGACUGCCAGUGAUAAACUGGAGGAAGGUGGGGAUGACGUCAAGUCAUCAUGGCCCUUACGACCAGGGCUACACACGUGCUACAAUGGCGCAUACAAAGAGAAGCGACCUCGCGAGAGCAAGCGGACCUCAUAAAGUGCGUCGUAGUCCGGAUUGGAGUCUGCAACUCGACUCCAUGAAGUCGGAAUCGCUAGUAAUCGUGGAUCAGAAUGCCACGGUGAAUACGUUCCCGGGCCUUGUACACACCGCCCGUCACACCAUGGGAGUGGGUUGCAAAAGAAGUAGGUAGCUUAACCUUCGGGAGGGCGCUUACCACUUUGUGAUUCAUGACUGGGGUGAAGUCGUAACAAGGUA
Molecule: ribosomal RNA, 1429 nt
Filed under: metagenome
Description: bacterial SSU rRNA
Rfam family: Bacterial small subunit ribosomal RNA
Source: RNAcentral